Molecule: ribosomal RNA, 253 nt
Filed under: uncultured bacterium
Lineage: Bacteria
Description: partial 16S ribosomal RNA
Rfam family: Bacterial small subunit ribosomal RNA
Source: RNAcentral
UACAGAGGUCUCAACCGUUGUUCGGAUUCAUUGGGCGUAAAGGGUGCGUAGGCGGUCGCGCAAGUCGGAUGUGAAAUCUUAGGGCUCAACCCUGAAACUGCAUUCGAUACUGCGUGGCUAGAGUACUGGAGAGGAGACUGGAAUUUACGGUGUAGCAGUGAAAUGCGUAGAUAUCAGGAGGAACACCGGUGGCGAAGGCGGGUCUCUGGGCCGAAAUUGACGCUGAGGAGCGAAAGCGUGGGGAGCAAACAGG